AUGCUCUCUUAGGCAGCACAUAUACCAAAACUGGAAUAAUACAGAGAAGAACAGCAUGGCCCCUUUGCAAGGAUGAUAACACGAAGGGAAAUGCAUUGCCAUUUCCA
This is a small nuclear RNA of Lynx canadensis (Canada lynx), 107 nucleotides long. NCBI's taxonomy places the organism in Eukaryota, Metazoa, Chordata, Mammalia, Carnivora, Felidae. The record is from Ensembl.